GGGGAUAUAGCUCAGUUGGUAGAGUGCUUGCCUUGCAUGCACAAGGCCCUGGGUUCAAUCCCCAGCACCAUCA
Molecule: transfer RNA, 73 nt
Filed under: Sciurus carolinensis (gray squirrel)
Lineage: Eukaryota; Metazoa; Chordata; Mammalia; Rodentia; Sciuridae
Also listed under: 2 other names
Rfam family: tRNA
About the family: Transfer RNA (tRNA) molecules are approximately 80 nucleotides in length. Their secondary structure includes four short double-helical elements and three loops (D, anti-codon, and T loops). Further hydrogen bonds mediate the characteristic L-shaped molecular structure. tRNAs have two regions of fundamental functional importance: the anti-codon, which is responsible for specific mRNA codon recognition, and the 3' end, to which the tRNAs corresponding amino acid is attached (by aminoacyl-tRNA synthetases). tRNAs cope with the degeneracy of the genetic code in two manners: having more than one tRNA (with a specific anti-codon) for a particular amino acid; and 'wobble' base-pairing, i.e. permitting non-standard base-pairing at the 3rd anti-codon position.
Source: Rfam by way of RNAcentral